GGCCAGGGCCACAGGCUGUGUUGUAUACUGACUGCACAGAAAGAGAAGGCAGAGUAAACCUACCCCACACACAGCUCAGCCCAGGCCCUUCGCCUGGUCUGUAUUGUGAAGAGGGGAAACAGAG
This 124-nucleotide small nucleolar RNA is filed under the name Myotis davidii. RNAcentral describes it as "Small nucleolar RNA SNORA51". It matches the Rfam family "Small nucleolar RNA SNORA51". Rfam says of the family: ACA51 is a member of the H/ACA class of snoRNA that guide the sites of modification of uridines to pseudouridines. The record is from Rfam by way of RNAcentral. Lineage: Eukaryota; Metazoa; Chordata; Mammalia; Chiroptera; Vespertilionidae.